RNAcentral lists this ribosomal RNA (1109 nucleotides) under uncultured cyanobacterium. RNAcentral's name for it is "bacterial SSU rRNA". It matches the Rfam family "Bacterial small subunit ribosomal RNA", at positions 394 to 1514 of the family's 1533-position model. The record is from RNAcentral. Lineage: Bacteria; Bacillati; Cyanobacteriota.
ACGCCGCGUGAGGGAUGAAGGCCUCUGGGCUGUAAACCUCUUUUCUCAAGGAAGAAGAUCUGACGGUACUUGAGGAAUAAGCCACGGCUAAUUCCGUGCCAGCAGCCGCGGUAAUACGGGAGUGGCAAGCGUUAUCCGGAAUUAUUGGGCGUAAAGCGUCCGCAGGCGGCCUCGAAAGUCUGUCGUUAAAGCGUGGAGCUUAACUCCAUUUAAGCGGUGGAAACUACGAGGCUAGAGUGUGGUAGGGGCAGAGGGAAUUCCCGGUGUAGCGGUGAAAUGCGUAGAUAUCGGGAAGAACACCAGUGGCGAAGGCGCUCUGCUGGGCCAUAACUGACGCUCAUGGACGAAAGCCAGGGGAGCGAAAGGGAUUAGAUACCCCUGUAGUCCUGGCCGUAAACGAUGAACACUAGGUGUCGGGGGAAUCGACCCCCUCGGUGUCGUAGCUAACGCGUUAAGUGUUCCGCCUGGGGAGUACGCACGCAAGUGUGAAACUCAAAGGAAUUGACGGGGGCCCGCACAAGCGGUGGAGUAUGUGGUUUAAUUCGAUGCAACGCGAAGAACCUUACCAGGGCUUGACAUCCUGCGAAUCCCUUGGAAACUUGGGAGUGCCUUCGGGGAGCGCAGAGACAGGUGGUGCAUGGCUGUCGUCAGCUCGUGUCGUGAGAUGUUGGGUUAAGUCCCGCAACGAGCGCAACCCACGUCUUUUAGUUGCCAGCAUUAAGUUGGGCACUCUAGAGAGACCGCCGGUGAUAAACCGGAGGAAGGUGUGGAUGACGUCAAGUCAUCAUGCCCCUUUACGUCCUGGGCUACACACGUACUACAAUGCUACGGACAAAGGGCAGCAAACUCGCGAGAGCUAGCAAAUCCCAUAAACCGUGGCUCAGUUCAGAUCGUAGGCUGCAACUCGCCUACGUGAAGGAGGAAUCGCUAGUAAUCGCAGGUCAGCAUACUGCGGUGAAUACGUUCCCGGGCCUUGUACACACCGCCCGUCACACCAUGGAAGUUGGCCACGCCCGAAGUCGUUACUCCAACCCGCAAGGGAGGAGGAUGCCGAAGGUGGGGCUGAUGACUGGGGUGAAGUCGUAACAAGGUAGCCGUACCGGAAGGUG